RNAcentral lists this transfer RNA (66 nucleotides) under Aparapotamon huizeense. RNAcentral describes it as "tRNA-Asn". The record is from RNAcentral. Lineage: Eukaryota; Metazoa; Arthropoda; Malacostraca; Decapoda; Potamidae.
UUAAUAGAAACCAAAAAGAGGUAAAUCACUGUUAAUGAUUUAAUUGAAAUUAUAUUUCCUAUUAAU